Microplitis demolitor is the source of this 991-nucleotide long non-coding RNA. RefSeq lists it as uncharacterized. The transcript has 3 exons. The record is from RefSeq and is a predicted model, not a curated record. NCBI's taxonomy places the organism in Eukaryota, Metazoa, Arthropoda, Insecta, Hymenoptera, Braconidae.
UUAAACCAAUAAUAUUAUGUUCUUAAUUUAUAAAAUGUUUUAGUAACUCACUAAAUUAUAAUUCCAUAUACUCUCUAAACAGAAAUAUGUGAAAUAAGUAAAUAUUCAAUAAUUCGGAAUGCCAAUCGAACCGCUUUUUGAAAUUAGUGGUUUCGUUUCCACUUGGAAUUAGUGAAUAUCCACUUAUUUUCACUAAUUCAUAUUUAGAGAGUAAUUCAUGGUGAAAAUAUUAAAAUAUUUGAUGUUACGGUACAAUAUAAAAUGUUAUCUUGUGGUAUGAUUGAUGUGAAUGAUACAUUGUAUUUGUAAAAAAGUUUAUUAUCAGCUGGUAAGAAUCUUUUAAGAUUAUUUCGUGACAAUAUACGAAAAGACAGCUCGAAAUAAAACCAGAAAAAUGUCGAAAAUAAUUUUAUUAUUAUCAAUUUUCGUAUUGGUUGUUAUCUAUCCUGGUGUAUAUGCAUCAUGUCCUGGCGGUUGGUGCAAUCCAGCACAAGGUUAUUAUUGUUGUGAAGGAAAUGUUUGCUCUGAGUAUUUGUCCGAAGGUACAUGCGUGGAUGAGUCCGAAUGGGUUGAGAUGCACCCUCCAGGAAAAUGAUCAUAACAAUCCAGUGAAGAUUUAUGAAUGUACACGGAAAAAAAAAUCUGAGCGUCGGUUGGCCUUGGUCAGGAAUCAAAAUCAAGAUUUAAAUAAGUUUUGACUCAUGUAAUAAACAAUAAACUAAGAAAUAUCCCGCAAAAAUAUUAAAAACUACGUUUUUUCGAUUGUUUUGUUGAUAAUAUGAUUUAAACUAUAAAACAAGUUUGACGACAUUAUAUGAUUCCGAGAAACCAUAAAAAGGAUGAGUUGGUAUGAUUUCAAACACAUUUUAGUACGUUAUAUUAUGAUUUAUUCGGAAAAAAUACCAUAAAAUGUUGUUGUUUAACUUUUCAACCCUGAUAUCGUUUGUUUUUUACCAUUUCUUUCUCUAACAAUAUGUUUUUCUCUGUGUAU